AUCCAGUUCUAUCUGAUUCCAGAGUCAGGGUUUCACUCAGGACUGGCUUGAACCAAUACUUAGAAAGUUGCCUAAGAGUGUUUUCACCUAUCCUUAAUUGUGUUUUUGUUUAUCAUCUGUCUUCCAGAAUGUGAUUUCCAUGACAACAAUGACCUUUCUGCAUUGUUUACUCCUGUGAUCCAGAACAGUGCCUGGCACUUGUGGAAUUCCAGGAUCCCACAUGUUUGCCUCUGCCUCUGCCUGAGAGCUCCAGCUAGUGCCUGGGUUAUGUAAACUAGAGACAUAUGGCUGAGAUGGUAAUUCUCACAUAGUUCUUUUUCCCCUGGUGAUUAACAAACUUCAAAUUACCACCCACAGUUGAUCAGGAAACACUGAAAAAUGACAACCAGUUCUGGUAUUCACCCAGGGCACACCCAUCCUGCCACACUGGAAGUUAAGAUAUUGAACUUUCUGUAUGAGUUGUUUAAAGCUGCUGCCCUAAAGGACAUGAACAGACACUUCUCAGAAUAAAACAUUAAUGCGGCCAACAAACAUUAAAAAAAAGCUCAG
Molecule: long non-coding RNA, 549 nt
Filed under: Homo sapiens (human)
Lineage: Eukaryota; Metazoa; Chordata; Mammalia; Primates; Hominidae
Description: HSALNT0319767
Source: RNAcentral